CAGAACCUGUACUUUUAGAAGAAACCUUUCUUCUUCUGCCACAGUGUACCACUUGUCAGCCAACAUGAGAGGGAAGAAGCACUGCCUUCUUGUCGGCCAUUUUCGAAAAUGGACCUUUCCAGUGCCUUAUGUCCUAUUGGCUUGAGUCCUACAGCACUUUCUGUGGUGAUGGACCUCUGUCCCUGCAAGCAAUUCUGGUAAAAUCGACAGAUACAAUUGUGAAGGGAAGUCUGCUGCUGCUGUUACUCAAAACUCUCAUCUGGUUUUCCUGGGGAAGUUUGGAUGCAGGGGUUGGUUUGGCGAGGAGAAUCGCUUCACCCUUCACUGGAGCACAGCCACCUGGGGAGCUGCAGGGAGAAACUUCUUUGGAAACCCACGGGGCUUUCUAA
RNAcentral lists this long non-coding RNA (389 nucleotides) under Calidris pugnax (ruff). RNAcentral describes it as "lncRNA (ENSCPUG00000002036.1)". Lineage: Eukaryota; Metazoa; Chordata; Aves; Charadriiformes; Scolopacidae. The record is from RNAcentral.